AUAAUAAACAAUUCUUUUAAUAUGAGUGGGAUCCCAAAAAAAUAAUGAAAUAAUAGUGAAACAUUUUCAUUGGUUGAAAGAGAGAUGGCGAGGAUAACCAUUGCUUUGUUAUCUACCCUUGAUUACACUCAAUCUAAUGGACAGGAUUUGUUCUUCUCUUUCUUCAUGACAAAAAAGGCAAUCACUUUCUUCUUCUUCUUUCACGAGUCUGAUUCUCCAAUCCUCUCCAACUCUCAGUCUCCAUGACAAAAAAAAUCAAUCUCUUUCCUCUCAAUUUCUGUUCAUCUCCACCCAUUUCCUCACCUCCGCUCAAACUCACACACGUCUUCUCGUUACGGGCUAAAACGGAGAUGACAUAGGAAGAGGACGACGGCGGUGGUAAAUCCGAAGUUUCUCUCCCUCAGUCGUGGAAACGGAGAAGAGAGAGAGGAAGAGGACAACCGAGGUGGUAAAUCCCGAGCUUCUCUCCGCUGCGUCUCCGCUCACACUCUCGCCGCUGCUGCUGCUCUCUUUGCCGGCAUUGACUGGAAAGAUGACUCGUUGCGACUCGAGUCAGAUUAGGUCUAGUUUUUUUUUUGUUGGUUUAGUUUUUUUUUUCUGUUAAAUUUGGUUUGGUUUGGUUAUGUAAACCAAUUUUAAUUUGUAAAACAAUUUCAAUAUAUAUAUAUAUAUAUAAAAAUAUUUAAAAUUUUAUUUUAUUUUUGUAAAUCAUUCACAAAAAGAAAUGAUAAUAUUGGAAAUCAA
Molecule: long non-coding RNA, 744 nt
Organism: Raphanus sativus (radish)
Lineage: Eukaryota; Viridiplantae; Streptophyta; Magnoliopsida; Brassicales; Brassicaceae
Exons: 2
Source: RefSeq, a predicted model, not a curated record